RNAcentral lists this ribosomal RNA (667 nucleotides) under Hepatozoon canis. RNAcentral describes it as "SSU rRNA". It matches the Rfam family "Eukaryotic small subunit ribosomal RNA", at positions 167 to 821 of the family's 1831-position model. Lineage: Eukaryota; Apicomplexa; Hepatozoidae. The record is from RNAcentral.
AUACAUGAGCAAAAUCUCAACUUUAUUAGAAGAGACGCAUUUAUUAGAUAAAAAGCCAAUGCAUGCUUUUACAGUAUGAAAAUUGGUGAUUUAUAAUAACUUAGCAAAUCGCAAAGUGAAAACAGGCGAUAAAUCAUUCAAGUUUCUGACCUAUCAGCUUUCGACGGUAUGGUAUUGGCUUACCGUGGCAGUGACGGUUAACGGGGGAUUAGGGUUCGAUUCCGGAGAGGGAGCCUGAGAAACGGCUACCACAUCUAAGGAAGGCAGCAGGCGCGCAAAUUACCCAAUUCUAACAGUUUGAGAGAGGUAGUAACAAGAAAUAACAAUACAAGGCAGUUAAAAUGCUUUGUAAUUGGAAUGAUAGAAAUUUAAACCCUUUUUAAAGUAUCAAUUGGAGGGCAAGUCUGGUGCCAGCAGCCGCGGUAAUUCCAGCUCCAAUAGCGUAUAUUAAAAUUGUUGCAGUUAAAAAGCUCGUAGUUGAAGUUCUGCUAAAAGUAACCGGUCUGCUUUUAAUAAAGGUGGUAUCUUGGUGUGUAUUUAGCAAUGAUGUCCUUUGAAGUGUUUUUUACUUUAUUGUAAUAAGAGCAUAUUCAGGACUUUUACUUUGAGAAAAUUAGAGUGUUUCUAGCAGGCUAACGCUUUGAAUACUGCAGCAUGGAAUAAUAAG